UUUCCGUAGGUGAACCUGCGGAAGGAUCAUUAUCGUAAAACCGAGGUGCGAGGGCUGUCGCUGACCUUUUCGGUCGUGCACGCCCGAGCGCCCUCACACAAUCCAUCUCACCCCUUGUGCACCACCGCGUGGGUCCCUUUCUGGCUCGUCCGGAGGGGGGCUCGCGUUUUCACACAAACUUGAAGUAGUGUAGAAUGUCCUUUUUUUGCGAUAACACGCAAUCAAUACAACUUUCAACAACGGAUCUCUUGGUUCUC
Molecule: unclassified non-coding RNA, 257 nt
Filed under: plant metagenome
Description: partial contains small subunit ribosomal RNA, internal transcribed spacer 1, and 5.8S ribosomal RNA
Source: RNAcentral